RNAcentral lists this unclassified non-coding RNA (223 nucleotides) under Glomeraceae sp. Its description in RNAcentral is "partial contains 5.8S ribosomal RNA and internal transcribed spacer 2". The stretch from base 1 to 71 matches the Rfam family "5.8S ribosomal RNA", at positions 84 to 154 of the family's 154-position model. Lineage: Eukaryota; Fungi; Glomeromycota; Glomeromycetes; Glomerales; Glomeraceae. The record is from RNAcentral.
GUGAAUCAUCAAAUUUUUGAACGCAAAUUGCACUCUCUGGUAUUCCGGAGAGUAUGCCUGUUUGAGGGUCAGUUUAAAUAAAAAUCGUUUUGGUUGCUGCCUUUCGUGUUAACGCACCGGAUUGGGUUCUUCUUGCCUUCGGUUAGGUGACCUAAAAUUUGGCAUGAUUUUUUUGGACGGUAUUUAAAUAAUUUUACUUACUUUUGCGAUAUCGAAUACUAGG